Molecule: ribosomal RNA, 437 nt
Filed under: uncultured bacterium
Lineage: Bacteria
Description: bacterial SSU rRNA
Rfam family: Bacterial small subunit ribosomal RNA
Source: RNAcentral
AACGCGAAGAACCUUACCUGGGCUAGAGUGCCUCUGACAACCCUAGAGAUAGGGCCUCCAAGGUAAAACUUGGCAGAGUGCAAGGUGCUGCAUGGCUGUCGUCAGCUCGUGUCGUGAGAUGUUGGGUUAAGUCCCGCAACGAGCGCAACCCUUAUCUUUAGUUGCCAGCAUUUAGUUGGGCACUCUAGAGAGACUGCCGUUGACAAAACGGAGGAAGGUGGGGAUGACGUCGAGUCCUCAUGGCCUUUAUGUCCAGGGCUACACACGUGCUACAAUGGCCGGUACAAACCGCCGCAAACUCGCAAGAGGGAGCCAAUCGGAAAAAGCCGGUCUCAGUUCGGAUUGAAGUCUGCAACUCGACUUCAUGAAGUUGGAAUCGCUAGUAGUCGCAGGUCAGCAUGCUGCGGUGAAUACGUUCCCGGGUCUUGUACACACCG